Long non-coding RNA from Lagopus leucura (white-tailed ptarmigan), 725 nucleotides. RefSeq lists it as uncharacterized. NCBI's taxonomy places the organism in Eukaryota, Metazoa, Chordata, Aves, Galliformes, Phasianidae. The record is from RefSeq and is a predicted model, not a curated record. The transcript has 4 exons.
GCACAGCAGACACUUUAUUGAAAAUGGGUACCUCUCUAAGUCAGCCAGAAUGCAAGGCAAAGUCAGAGCAACAGGUUGAGAGACUUCAGUGGGUAUUUAAAACCUAACUGCUCCUUUCCACAGAAAGAUGUCUUAAUUAACUAUUUAUUCACUCUUUUUAGUGGCUUUAAACACAUUAAUAUAACCUAACAGCCUUCUUACAUAGAAAAUGGGAAAUAACUCAUUUGAAGUCAGGUUGUUCUAAUGUCUUCUAUCCUGGCAAAGCAGCUACAGUCACUGUGCAGACAACUUGCUGAACAUUGUCUUCCAGAAUGUCCACCUGAUAAUCUGAUUGAGUAGUAUGAAUGCUGUUUCCUCCUACUGACCAGGAUUCCUACCUUGAUGAAGAUUCUGGGAAGAAAAUUAAGUUGGGAGAAGGAAGAUGCUUAUGGAGAAGAGCAUGAAAAAGACAGAAGUAUUAACUCUUGGAGAAAAACAGAAGCAUCUACAGCAGAAUAACAUCAGUACUUUUAAGACUGCACAAUCCAGACCGCAACGUGAAUGUAAAAAUGAGCACUUUUCAAAUUCAAGCUGGAAAAGGUUCCCAGCCUUCUCUUAAACAUAAAGCAGGCGAUGCGAAGUAUGACAUUAUAUGAGAGUCAGGUACUGUAAUUAAUAGCAGCAGCCUUCCUCUUGGGUUUUUAAUAAAUAUUUCUGUAAAAUAUAAUAAAAACUGCAGUGUGAUC